Molecule: RNA transcript, 1728 nt
Organism: Syzygium oleosum
Lineage: Eukaryota; Viridiplantae; Streptophyta; Magnoliopsida; Myrtales; Myrtaceae
Gene name: N-alpha-acetyltransferase MAK3
Exons: 6
Source: RefSeq, a predicted model, not a curated record
CCACCUUCGUUCACCAAAAGUUCUCUCUCCAUUGUUAUCCCUCGCCGCCGCCGCCGCCGCCGCCGCCGGCAUCGUCGGGGCGCUCUGAUUUCCCUAUGGAGACGGCGACCAGCGACGCGAAAGCGGAGAAGAAGGCCGAGUUCGGGGCGUCGGAGAUAGAGUACGCGAGCUACGGCGGAGAGCACCACCUCCCCCUCAUCAUGAGCCUCGUCGACCACGAGCUCAGCGAGCCCUACUCCAUCUUCACCUACCGCUACUUCGUCUACCUCUGGCCUCAGCUCUCCUUCCUGGCGUUCCACAAGGGCAAGUGCGUGGGGACCGUGGUGUGCAAGAUGGGCGAGCAUCGAAGCACCUACCGAGGUUACAUUGCCAUGCUGGUCGUCAUCAAGCCCUACCGAGGGAAAGGCAUAGCCACGGAACUCGUGAGUAGAUCUAUCAGAGUCAUGAAGGAGUCUGGCUGCGAAGAGGUGACUUUGGAAGCAGAAGUCACAAAUAAAGGAGCCCUGGCACUUUAUGGUCGUCUUGGAUUCAUUAGGGCCAAGAGGCUCUUCCGAUACUAUCUGAAUGGAGUCGAUGCAUUCCGUUUAAAGUUGCUAUUUCCACAGCCUGAGCUACACCCUUCUCUGGUUAUGAUGGCGAACGAUGACGAUAGUCAGAGGCAUGCUGCUAACAGCCCACAAGAAGAGUUCCCUGAGCAACAAGAAAGGUUUUAGCAUGGUCUAUUCUUCUAUGGUGGAAAGUGUCGGCAAUAAGUGAAGGAGACAGGUGGAAUGAGGAAUCGUUUGAAAGUGCUGGCCUUGAACCUGUUCCAUUAUAGAUGAUCUUCCUGUGGUCGGUUGUUGGCAACUGGCCCCACGCGAGGGUUGACCUCGCCGGGCUACACUUGGGUGAGGGGAAGCGUUGGCGAGGCCCCCCUCGCCCAAUCCAGGGCGACCUCGCUUUGGGCAAGGGCGAGGCUUGACGAGCACUCAAGCUUUGUCCAUGGCAGCUGACAUCCAUGUCAAGGAAGAUGACGAUGAGGGCUUCGGGGACUUUGCCUUUGCCUCAAGCUUUAUGGCCACUGCCUCCAUUUUCUAGCGGCGGCGGAGUCUUCGCCUUUCAGAAUGAUGAUGAUUGGUCCGAUUUUGUCAGCUCUGGCCCGAUCUUGUCUUCUAAUCCAUAGUCGAUCCUUCGAGCACAUCGAGGCUCGCCGGGCCUCGCCCUCGUUAGAUCUGGCAAGGGAGGUCUGGCCGACACUUGCCCUUGCCCAAGCGUAGCUCGGUGAGAUCGAUCCCCGCCUAUGGCGAUAGAAGGUAAGGGAAAGAAAGAAAAAAAUUCGAAAAAAUCAUUAAAAAAUUAUAAAAAAUGGCAUUAACUUCAACAAUUUUCGGCAUAAAUUGGCUGUAUGGAUUGAAAUAGUACCAAUGUGAAAAUGUUUGGGAUUAUAUUAACCCAAUUGAAAGGUUUAAGAUUGAAUUGGUACCAAUAUAAUAAAUUUAUGACUUUUUUGGGUACUUUUUCCUAUUUUCAAGCCAUGUUGCUACGGGUGAGCCGCUGCCAACACGGGUAACACUGUAUUGUUUACGGGUCUAGGUGAGGAUGUCUGCUACAUUUUCUUUCUUUUUCACCUCUAUGUAGUCAUCUUUAAAAAGGAAAAAGGCAUCCAAGAAACAUAAGAAUGAAAGCUGAUUUGUAAAUUUGAUUUAGCUAAUAAUUUCCGGUUUCUAUGAAGAAGAAUGUCUUUUUAUA